CCCUGAUCGUCUGUCAUAUGCGCUUCCCAUAUCCUGAGCCUGCUUAGAAGGGACUCAAUAACGGAGAUCUUCUUUGACACGCGGACCUAGUUUCCACCAACCCAGAUGUACCCGAUUCAGUGAUGACACUGACGGUACUAUCCCAUUUUUUUUGGCUUAGGGCCUGAUGCUUAGUUUCCUUCUAACUUAGUACUGAUCUUUAUUGUCCGAUUUGCUUUCUUAGUGCUGACACCCUCGUAUGCCGAUCAACCAAUGAAGCGGCAGAAGAACCUAUUUGACAGUAAUCUAGAAGGAACUUCAGAAAAAGACUGGAAAGUAAGGAACGAAGUGCUCGACCGAACAAGCAACGGCUGACGAGAUAGGGGCGCGCUAGCGCUCAAGCCUAUUCUAAUAAGGGCGUUAGCGCAUCCGUUUUCUUGCUGGGGCGUAGCGGUUUGAAAUUUGGAAAAUAUGGAGAGUCACAGAACGAACAUGGUGCGGAGAUUGGAGGUGUUGAAAAAAGGAGAAUAUUGAGAUGUUG
RNAcentral lists this long non-coding RNA (520 nucleotides) under Nicotiana benthamiana. RNAcentral describes it as "long non-coding RNA (NBEN_LNC027836)". Lineage: Eukaryota; Viridiplantae; Streptophyta; Magnoliopsida; Solanales; Solanaceae. The record is from RNAcentral.